AUGGUUACAGAAAACAUCUUGGAUUUCUUUCUAUGUGAUGCUGAUUUUCAUGAAUUGCAAAGUCGAUUUGAAGGCUCAUUUAAUGCUUUUUGCCCUGAAUGUAUUCCUUCAUGCUCUGCCCAGGGGGUCAAAAUUGCUACCGAGGUCCUGAGGUCUGAGGAAGGAGAGCCUGUUGGAAAGAUGGAUGGACGGAAAGACAUUCUGUUUGCUCUAAGAAGAUAGCUCAAAAAAGCACUAACCUGACUGGACACAUUCCCAGCCAUGAAACAAGGUCGACAAAACAGCUGCAAUGAUGGGAAGGAAAAAGGGAGGCAAAGGGGGUGGGGGGGUGGCUAAUGGAGACCACGAUGGAGAACGAAUAAAAGGAACUUGGUGAUGGUACUGAAGUUUGUU
This 393-nucleotide long non-coding RNA is filed under the name Monodelphis domestica (gray short-tailed opossum). Its description in RNAcentral is "lncRNA (ENSMODG00000035953.2)". The record is from RNAcentral. Lineage: Eukaryota; Metazoa; Chordata; Mammalia; Didelphimorphia; Didelphidae.